UUCGGACUGUAGGCUGCAACUCGCCUACACGAAGUUGGAAUUGCUAGUAAUCGUGGAUCAGCAUGCCACGGUGAAUACGUUCCCGGGUCUUGUACACACCGCCCGUCACACCAUGGGAGCUGGUAACACCCGAAGUCAGUAGUCUAACCGCAUGGAGGACGCUGCCGAAGGUGGGAUUAGCGACUGGGGUGAAGUCGUAACAAGGUACC
This 209-nucleotide ribosomal RNA is filed under the name uncultured bacterium. RNAcentral describes it as "partial 16S ribosomal RNA". It matches the Rfam family "Bacterial small subunit ribosomal RNA", at positions 1292 to 1500 of the family's 1533-position model. The record is from RNAcentral.